RNAcentral lists this long non-coding RNA (1036 nucleotides) under Capsicum annuum. Its description in RNAcentral is "long non-coding RNA (CANN_LNC009294)". Lineage: Eukaryota; Viridiplantae; Streptophyta; Magnoliopsida; Solanales; Solanaceae. The record is from RNAcentral.
UAACCCUCAACCUACGCAAGAAAAAAAUAGUAGUAGUAUAAUAAAGGGAAAGUUUUCUGUCAAAGAUGUUGUUUUGCUUUUGGAAGUACCAACCAAAAUCUCCUUCUAGUUAGAAAGAUAGUACAAAAGCACUACGUACCUUGUGAAAAAAGCUGACUCAUACACAUGCACUUCCCCAUGUCUUUUUAUAGGAGUAAUACACACGUUCGGACCAGAAUUUGCGCCCAUGAAUGACCACUAAUUUAAUGAGUGUCACGUUUGUACAACAUGAGGGCAACUUAGAAGAUCUCAUAAGACCAUUCUUGUUGGUUUUCACAUCUCAGAUGCUAUUAUAGAAAGAAUAUAAGAAGCAUCCAUCCAUCAACUACCUUGAAUCUUGACCUCCUCAGUUCAGCACAUCUCUUCCAAAGACUAUCAGACUAUUACUGGAAAAAUAGUUCCAAGUACAAUGAAGGUCAUCCUGAAUGAGCUAGCAUGUCAUGCUGAUGUUUGGAGGAAUGUUAAUACUGGCAGCAGCAUGGGAUGUGCAUAAACUAGAUGGAGAGUCAUUUCAGCCAUAACGUCUCGCCAAAAUGUGCCAUGUACCUGAGAGUUUAAGAAGAUAAUAAAGCAUAUAUCAUCCAGUUGAAGACUGCCUCUCUAUCUACUUUGUCUGAGGUAGUGGUAUGGACUGCGUACACUUUACCCUCAGUAUGUUGUUGUUGCAUCUCAGUUGAAGACUUUGGAUGGAUGGAUCAUAAACAUCUGCACCUGCCUCCAAGGCUGAUACAAAUACACUACCUAUUCUUGGCCUUGAAGGCUUUAGUUUUGGUACAAGGGGAUGAGCAAAAUUAUGCUUGCUACAAUAUCAAAUUAUCACACACAGACACUGUAAUAGUACCAAAUAUACAAUAGAAAACAAGCACUUUUUACCCCUUCUCUCAAGAAGCAUGAAAACAGAUAAUCUUAGUAGUGGACUAAAAUUUUGAAUUCAUUCCUUCUACUGCCAUUGAUGAGCAUAAGAUGCACAUAAUCUUUGUUCAUUCUUUAAACUGCC